CCUACGGGAGGCAGCAGUGGGGAAUUUUGGACAAUGGGCGAAAGCCUGAUCCAGCGACGCCGCGUGGAGGACGAAGGUCUUCGGAUUGUAAACUCCUUUUGCAGGGGACGAAAAAAAUGAUGGUACUCUGCGAAUAAGCCACGGCUAACUACGUGCCAGCAGCCGCGGUAAUACGUAGGUGGCGAGCGUUACUCGGAAUCACUAGGCGUAAAGCGCGUGUAGGCGGUAUUUUAAGUCUGUUAUGAAAUCUUAUGGCUCAACCAUAAAAUGUCGACCGAUACUGAAGUACUAGAGUGAGGCAGGGGAAACUGGAAUUCCAGGUGUAGCGGUGAAAUGCGUAGAUAUCUGGAAGAACACCAGUGGCGAAGGCGACUUUCUGGGCCAUUUCUGACACUGAGGCGCGAAAGCUAGGGGAGCAAACGGGAUUAGAUCCCCCUGUAUU
This 442-nucleotide ribosomal RNA is filed under the name uncultured bacterium. Its description in RNAcentral is "partial 16S ribosomal RNA". It matches the Rfam family "Bacterial small subunit ribosomal RNA", at positions 338 to 794 of the family's 1533-position model. The record is from RNAcentral.